Varroa destructor (honeybee mite) is the source of this 379-nucleotide long non-coding RNA. RefSeq lists it as uncharacterized. Lineage: Eukaryota; Metazoa; Arthropoda; Arachnida; Mesostigmata; Varroidae. The record is from RefSeq and is a predicted model, not a curated record.
GACAGGUAGACGAACUGCUUCCAGAUAAACCCGCUACUGCGGCAGAAGAGCUUGCGCUGUUUCCGCUACUCGUUGGCGAUGAAGGCGAUCCUUGGUCGGCCGGACACCACCAACGUAAGAAACUUAUCUACGCUACACCGAGCCAAAAAUACUGCGUUCGAUUUAGAGUCACGUUGCAAUUCAAGAUUCUGCACCAAUGUUUGAUUCCUUUAUUUCGUUACAGUAACUCCAGGGAGCUACGGUUCACGCAGCAACUGUAAUCAUAUCACGCGAUCCUCCGAUAUCUCCGAUAUAAAGAUUCUUCGAAACUUUGUAGGACUACAGAACGAUACCUACCACUUGUGAGCUUAGGUGCAGCGUCCUGGAACGCCGACGGCGU